Molecule: ribosomal RNA, 253 nt
Filed under: uncultured bacterium
Lineage: Bacteria
Description: partial 16S ribosomal RNA
Rfam family: Bacterial small subunit ribosomal RNA
Source: RNAcentral
UACGAAGGGUGCAAGCGUUAAUCGGAAUUACUGGGCGUAAAGCGUGCGUAGGCGGUUUCUUAAGUCUGCUGUGAAAGCCCUGGGCUCAACCUGGGAAUGGCGGUGGAUACUGAGAGGCUGGAGUACGGUAGAGGAAGGUGGAAUUCCCGGUGUAGCGGUGAAAUGCGUAGAGAUCGGGAGGAACAUCAGUGGCGAAGGCGGCCUUCUGGACCAGUACUGACGCUGAGGCACGAAAGCGUGGGGAGCAAACAGG